RNAcentral lists this long non-coding RNA (791 nucleotides) under Homo sapiens (human). RNAcentral's name for it is "non-protein coding lnc-INPP4B-2:6". Lineage: Eukaryota; Metazoa; Chordata; Mammalia; Primates; Hominidae. The record is from RNAcentral.
CCCUCUGCCCCUCCGCCCCUCCGCCUGUCCGCCUCUCUCCUUCUCCCUUGUUCCCUCUCUCCCUCCCUGCUCCCCCACCUCCCUCCCGAGUCGUAGACUCCCUUCCCCCCGGCGCUGGGAGUCUCCUUCCCGCCCCGCCGCGCAGGUGCGGCGACGGCCGCGUCACUGGAGAGUGUGUCGAGUCACAGGCGGUCUUCCGCGCGGAGCGUCCCCGGCGGACGCUGCGCAGAUGGCUGCGACUGUAGGAUUCUUGCCGGCUAGUCUUCGUCGGUUCCGCCUGCGUCAGGUUACUCGUGAAAACUCGAAUAAGUGCUAUCGAUGUGAAAUCCGAGGAAAAGAGCAUUUGGGGGAAAAGUUAAAAGGACUUCUGACUCAAACUCCUCCUCUUGAGUUUGCAGUUUGCCACUUCCAGCCUGGCGACUAGGUGCUGAUUAAGACUUGGAAAGAAGACAAGCUCCACCCAAGCUGAGAAGGUCCCUGUCAAGUGCUGCUGACCCCUGAGAUGGCCAUAUGUACAGCUGAAUGGGGGUGGACUCACUAUACUUGUCAAGGGACUGGUAAAAGAGACCCUGGAAGGGUGGGAAAAAGACCAGUGGAAAGUACAUGGGUCACCUGAGGAACCCUUAAAAUUAACUCUGAGAUGAAUCUAAAAAGAAAACAUGGGCUGGUCCCAUUUCUGGAAAUUAAUAUGGCUGGGAUGGGCUACUAUGCAAAGAGAAGAAGGUCAAAGUAGAAACUAUCAGGGGACUCCUCCCUACCCACUCAGGUUGGUAAUUAAUGUAAACAAGAUG